RNAcentral lists this ribosomal RNA (504 nucleotides) under uncultured bacterium. RNAcentral describes it as "partial 16S ribosomal RNA". It matches the Rfam family "Bacterial small subunit ribosomal RNA", at positions 28 to 523 of the family's 1533-position model. The record is from RNAcentral.
GAUAAACGCUAGCGGCAGGCUUAACACAUGCAAGUCGAGGGGCAGCAUAGAUUGUAGCAAUACAAUUGGUGGCGACCGGCGCACGGGUGCGUAACGCGUAUGCAACCUACCCGUCACAGGGGGAUAAUCCGGAGAAAUCUGGUCUAAUACCCCAUAACAUAUGGAUCGGCAUCGGUUCAUGUUGAAAUUUUCGGAGGUGACGGAUGGGCAUGCGUAGCAUUAGAUUGUUGGUGAGGUAACGGCUCACCAAGGCGACGAUGCUUAGGGGGACUGAGAGGUUUUCCCCCCACACUGGUACUGAGACACGGACCAGACUCCUACGGGAGGCAGCAGUGAGGAAUAUUGGUCAAUGGGCGCAAGCCUGAACCAGCCAUGCCGCGUGCAGGAUGACAGCUCUAUGAGUUGUAAACUGCUUUUGUACGAGGGUAAAGUGGGUUACGUGUAACCUUUUGAAAGUAUCGUACGAAUAAGGAUCGGCUAACUCCGUGCCAGCAGCCGCAGUAA